GACGAACGCUGGCGGCGUGCUUAACACAUGCAAGUCGAACGCUGAAGACCUGGCUUUUGUUGGGUUGGAUGAGUGGCGAGCGGGUGAGUAACACGUGAGUAACCUGCCCUCUUCUUUGGGAUAACGCCCGGAAACGGGUGCUAAUACUGGAUAUUCACUGAUCUUCGCAUGGGGGUUGGUGGAAAGGUUUGUUCUGGUGGGGGAUGGGCUCGCGGCCUAUCAGCUUGUUGGUGGGGUGAUGGCCUACCAAGGCUUUGACGGGUAGCCGGCCUGAGAGGGUGACCGGUCACAUUGGGACUGAGAUACGGCCCAGACUCCUACGGGAGGCAGCAGUGGGGAAUAUUGCACAAUGGGCGAAAGCCUGAUGCAGCGACGCCGCGUGAGGGAUGGAGGCCUUCGGGUUGUAAACCUCUUUCGCUCAUGGUCAAGCCGCAACUGUGGGUUGUGGUGAGGGUAGUGGGUAAAGAAGCGCCGGCUAACUACGUG
RNAcentral lists this ribosomal RNA (486 nucleotides) under uncultured bacterium. RNAcentral's name for it is "partial 16S ribosomal RNA". It matches the Rfam family "Bacterial small subunit ribosomal RNA", at positions 28 to 507 of the family's 1533-position model. The record is from RNAcentral.